AAUGAUGAGCCUGAUUAAAGGAUUAUCGUGAUAGGAUAAAACAUGUAGAAAACACCUACCAUCAUUA
RNAcentral lists this transfer RNA (67 nucleotides) under Odontotermes nr. pauperans RDCT160. Its description in RNAcentral is "tRNA-Ile". The record is from RNAcentral. Lineage: Eukaryota; Metazoa; Arthropoda; Insecta; Blattodea; Termitidae.